This is a long non-coding RNA of Mustela lutreola (European mink), 1087 nucleotides long. RefSeq lists it as uncharacterized. The record is from RefSeq and is a predicted model, not a curated record. The transcript is spliced from 3 exons. Lineage: Eukaryota; Metazoa; Chordata; Mammalia; Carnivora; Mustelidae.
CACCCAGCACCCCCAUCGGGCCUCCCUGCGCACACUGCUCUGAGUCGUGCUUUGGUCGGUAACAGGGAACGCUUGCGGUGGCUUCACGCAGCCCACAAGGCACCAUCUGACCUGCCCUCGUGGCCACAGCGCGCCCUGCACUUGGGUUACUCCCACGAGCACUGCCACCACGCUCUUGCCCGUGACCGCUGACCUGGUCUGCGAGUCUCUCAGUUAUGACCAGCACCGCGGGACUCACGGGCCACAGGCACAGGGCGACAUGCCCAGGCUCCGGCGCCCCUUGGCCUCUCUCAGGCCUCCACCCUUCUCUGAGUCACUUUUCCCAAGUGUCUCUCGUUCCCUGAGUCUCCAGCUAGGACCGAGAGACAGGUGUCCCUCCUGCUGUACAUUCUCCUUCUGAAGAGUGGGACAGGCACCGUCACCAGGGCUUAAAUUCGAGCCAGCGUCAUGAGGCGUGUCGAUAACCAACGCCGGAACAUGGUGGGGGUCUGCUGUCACCGGCUGGCCAGUAAACUAGCUUGGUGGUUCCCGAGCUGAGCUCCAACGGUUUCACCAGUAACUACUAACGGAGACCAGCGCGCUCCGGGUCACAGCGACUGAAGAGGUAACAGCGGGACAGGAAUGAGACGGCAUUUUCUAGCGUAUUGACAACACUCAGGAAAAAGCAACUUCCAGCGUCGGGGGUUCAGGGAAACAGGAAGUCUCCAGGAACCGGAAUAAACGUUCACGGCCUCUUCUGUGGGACAGAGGACAACAGAGCCAAGCUGACCCUCUGCCUGGAACAGCCCUCCCAGCCUCCUGCCCUCGGGGGCCAGGCGGGGCAGAGGGCGGGGGAAGUUCUGUAGGAGAACAAAACUUGAACAGAGAACACUUCUGGACCGACUGUCCCAUCAGCUGGAGGUUCAUGUCCCGCGUCCUGGUGUCACGGCCCACUUUGAGGCUGACCUCAAUGUCCUAUUCUUCACUUAGUACAAAACAAGGAUGACUGGAGAAGCAGCGCCAUACAUUUUAGCUGCCGUUUUUAUUCACUGCAGGUGCAUUCUGUCAAGCAUCAACAUCUAAAAUCAGGUUCCCCCUACGGUCCGUG